Molecule: long non-coding RNA, 2389 nt
Organism: Nematostella vectensis (starlet sea anemone)
Lineage: Eukaryota; Metazoa; Cnidaria; Anthozoa; Actiniaria; Edwardsiidae
Exons: 2
Source: RefSeq, a predicted model, not a curated record
CCCUCUUAAGUAAACUUGGCGCAAGCGGCACCUUUUGGACGACACAAAUCACAUUCAGACGCCAUCAAUUUUUCUGUCAUCAGUGCAAAGCAAAGAUGACGUUACAGCUUUCUAAAUAUCAUCCAAAACUUGUCUCUUUGUAAUAGCGACAAAACAAGCAGAAAUGCUGAGUAUCCUAAGCCCCUUGUUGUUCCAAAAAGCACGGAAUUCACUUGAAUGACAGCUUUUCGCUAGCUGGGUAGCGAGAUUGUUUCGUUGGCCUUAAGGCACGCGUUUGUUUCUUUCCUCGGAUGACUUGGUGCAUCAUUUUGCAUGUAAUUACCGAGGUCAUAUUUUAGAGCCUCGCUUUUGUUUUAUUGUUUGUGAUCCCGUGGAUAGCAUAGCUCAUGACCUCCCGUCGUUCGAGAAAUUAGGGUACGGAUUUAACAUGCGCUUCUGACAAAACAUAAACCGCUUAUAGCUUUCUAGAGAACACUGGUCAAGAGGAUAUAUGAAACAAAAGUGAACAACGACGUUCACUGAAGAAGAAUCUUCAAAGAUGAAGACGUCGUUAUUGCUUAUCGCUGUCUUCGUGGUGCUUCUUGUAUUGGUCUCCUUUCCUGAGGAUACAAAUGCUGUGGUAUUCGUGCUGAGCCAAGGAAAAAUUCGAUCAAUUGAACGACAACGUCAGAUUAAGAAGCUGACGAAGAGAAUCAAGAGAAUCAAGGCACUGAAUCGCGGCAAGAGAAAGAAAAAACAUUCAAAGAGAUCUCAGAAACUUCGCGAGAUGCGAAGGUGGCUUCGGCGAUUCAAGCAAAAGAAGCAAGUAAAAUGGCUCCGAAGAAUGCUGAAGAAGAAAAUGCACGGAGGGGAGAAGAAGUCUACGUGAGAUGAUGUCAUAGGGUGGCAGUAGAGGCGCCGUAUUUUAACAUGUGAUUUGUGACGUCAGAGGUAGGGGACACUAGCACAAGCACUGCACCAAUCACAAAAUACGGCGCGACCUAGAAUGAUCCAGAAGCUUCUGUGGAAUGCGUGGAAGAGGAUGGGACACGGUGGAUCUUUUGAGGUGUAGACAUAUGACAUAGCUUUAGAUCGAAAGAAUAUGUAAUAUAGAACUUGGACUGCAAGGACGCUAUUAUUUAAUUACGGGAAAAUGUCGAUGUUCAAUAUAUGGAAAAAUGGAAUCUGGAAUGGAAUGUAAAGACAAAACACGGACAAAAAGUUACCCCAAGAUAAUACUGUAAAAACUUACGCGUCAACAUUAAAACAUUGGUAAUUGUUAGCAAUCUUCACACACAAUGUUUUGUUGAUAUCGACGACCAAGCCUGAGUAACCUUAAUCACGUGAUAGCUGCAUCACGUGACACCACCUGAACUAGGUAUUUGUGAAAGAAUUAAAAGACGACUGGGGUGACGACGCCAUCUUACCGCUGAUAUUUUAUCUUUAUUUUAGCCAGUUUAAAAUAGCUCAAGUCUAAGAACUUGCACGACUUAACUCUAAUGAGCAAUACGAGACGCCAUGGCGACACAGCUUAGAGACAAGGACGACGGCGAAGGCAUCAAGAACGGCGCGCGAGGAACGUGGAAAUUGGAAAAUGCCUUUUUAGAUUUGCAGACAACGCCGUUUUUAAUCAAUUCGUGAGCUCGCGCGCCGUUUUUGAUGCCGUCGUCGUCGUUGCGUAAGGUCUCUAUUAGAAAUGCCAGAAUUUGCCAAUCGCUAUUUCUGUUUGCACGGAAAGUAUUUUUGAAAGUAGGAAUGUAUUGUUUGCUAGAUUUACUCUUUAUUGAGUAAGUUGUUUUUCUAUUGCAAUGUCCUUAUCUCCCGCAUUGCAUUGUUCAAGCACAAGGAGCUUAUUCUCUACUCUAUCGCAUUGCUCAAGAUUUUGGUCACAAACGUCACGUUUACUUUAGUGUUUCAUUCAAGUAGAGUUUCUAAAAGUAACAUGGCUAGAAAAAAAAAAAACAGACAAGCUGUAGAAUAACUAGGUGGUCUACGUAGGCGUGGCAGAAUCAGGGAAAUGAAUCAAUCCUAGGUUGAAAUUGUAUGUUUUACUUGUUUUACGCCCUUGUGGAACACAUUUGUUUCGCUGGCGUUUCGAACGUUAGCCCUUCGUCAUAUGUCAUAACAAAAAGAGACGAAGAAAAAUCCUUUUGAGCUUUGGAUUAUAAUCACCUUUUUUCUCGUAUUUGAAAGUGCGCGUGCAUAUACACGAUUUUCGUGUAUGUUUGCGUUAUUUGCCCCAGGCGAAUAGUUGCCAUGCUAAUACAAGCCACGAGGCAGGACAUUGCUAACUAAAAACACGAUGACAUUGGUUCAAUUGAGUUGGUAAAACCAAGACUGCAAAAUAAUGCAUUUAGAAUUAUACUACAAGACUAUAAACUGAAAUAAAAACCCAAAGUCUUCACGAUUA